GUCCCCAUCGUCUAGAGGCCUAGGACAACACCCUUUCACGGUGUAGACACGGGUUCGAAUCCCGUUGGGGACGCCA
This 76-nucleotide transfer RNA is filed under the name Dongia sedimenti. Its description in RNAcentral is "Rhodospirillaceae bacterium R-7 tRNA-Glu". It matches the Rfam family "tRNA". Rfam says of the family: Transfer RNA (tRNA) molecules are approximately 80 nucleotides in length. Their secondary structure includes four short double-helical elements and three loops (D, anti-codon, and T loops). Further hydrogen bonds mediate the characteristic L-shaped molecular structure. tRNAs have two regions of fundamental functional importance: the anti-codon, which is responsible for specific mRNA codon recognition, and the 3' end, to which the tRNAs corresponding amino acid is attached (by aminoacyl-tRNA synthetases). tRNAs cope with the degeneracy of the genetic code in two manners: having more than one tRNA (with a specific anti-codon) for a particular amino acid; and 'wobble' base-pairing, i.e. permitting non-standard base-pairing at the 3rd anti-codon position. RNAcentral also lists the same sequence under 1 other name. Lineage: Bacteria; Pseudomonadati; Pseudomonadota; Alphaproteobacteria; Rhodospirillales; Dongiaceae. The record is from RNAcentral.